This 493-nucleotide ribosomal RNA is filed under the name uncultured haloarchaeon. Its description in RNAcentral is "bacterial SSU rRNA". It matches the Rfam family "Archaeal small subunit ribosomal RNA", at positions 332 to 825 of the family's 1478-position model. The record is from RNAcentral. Lineage: Archaea; Methanobacteriati; Methanobacteriota; Halobacteria; Halobacteriales; Halobacteriaceae.
GCAGCAGGCGCGAAACCUUUACACUGCACGCAAGUGCGAUAGGGGACACCGAGUGCGAGGGCAUAGAGCCCUCGCUUUUGUGCAUCGUAAGGUGGUACACGAAUAAGGGCUGGGCAAGACCGGUGCCAGCCGCCGCGGUAACACCGGCAGCCCGAGUGAUGGCCGCUUUUAUUGGGCCUAAAGCGUCCGUAGCCGGCCGUUCAGGUCCGUCGGGAAAUCCACUGGCUCAACCAGUGGGCGUCCGGCGGAAACCGAUCGGCUUGGGACAGGGAGACCAGAGGGGUACGUCCGGGGUAGGAGUGAAAUCCUGUAAUCCUGGACGGACCACCGGUGGCGAAAGCGCCUCUGGAGAACUGAUCCGACGGUGAGGGACGAAAGCUGGGGUCUCGAACCGGAUUAGAUACCCGGGUAGUCCCAGCUGUAAACAAUGCUCGCUAGGUGUGUCGCAGGCUACGAGCCUGCGAUGUGCCGUAGGGAAGCCGAGAAGCGAGCC